GUGCCCGUAGCUCAGCUGGUAGAGCAUUCGGCUUUUAACCGACUGGUCGUGCGUUCGAGUCGCACCGGGCACA
This 73-nucleotide transfer RNA is filed under the name Cyanobacteria bacterium REEB67. RNAcentral describes it as "tRNA-Lys". It matches the Rfam family "tRNA". Rfam says of the family: Transfer RNA (tRNA) molecules are approximately 80 nucleotides in length. Their secondary structure includes four short double-helical elements and three loops (D, anti-codon, and T loops). The record is from RNAcentral. Lineage: Bacteria; Bacillati; Cyanobacteriota.